This 504-nucleotide ribosomal RNA is filed under the name uncultured bacterium. RNAcentral describes it as "SSU rRNA". It matches the Rfam family "Bacterial small subunit ribosomal RNA", at positions 26 to 518 of the family's 1533-position model. The record is from RNAcentral.
AGGACGAACGCUGGCGGCGCGCUUAACACAUGCAAGUCGAGCGAGAACCGGUCCUUCGGGACCGGGGAAAGCGGCGAACGGGUGAGUAACACGUGGGUAAUCAACCCUUGACUCUGGGAUAGCCCGGGGAAACUCGGAUUAAUACCGGAUGGCCCAACAGCUCUUCGGGGCGGUUGGAAAAGGUAGCUUCGGCCUCCGGUCAGGGACGAGCCCGCGGCGGAUUAGCUUGUUGGUGAGGUAACGGCUCACCAAGGCGACGAUCCGUAGCUGGUCUGAGAGGACGAUCAGCCACACUGGGACUGAGACACGGCCCAGACUCCUACGGGAGGCAGCAGUGGGGAAUCUUGCACAAUGGGCGAAAGCCUGAUGCAGCGACGCCGCGUGAGGGAAGAAGGCUCUCGGGUUGUAAACCUCUUUCAGAAGGGACGAAGCUCCUCGGGUUAAUAGCCCAGAGGGUGACGGUACCUUCAGAAGAAGCCCGGCUAACUACGUGCCAGCAGCCGC